AGUGCUGAAUGCAGGAUCUUACAUACAGCAGGAGAUCAACAAGAAGGAUGUGCGAGCCACCAGCAGUUUAACCAAUUCUGAGAUGCAAGAAGUGUAUACGAUUGGAAAGUUGUCUCAGCCCCUACAGAGCUAAGAGAGCAAGCAUGCUUUCCUGAUAGCAUCAAGAUAAUUGUCAACCACUCCAGUGACCUCAACAAUGCCAGCAGAAAUCUACAGACGCUUUCUUUCUGAUGAUUAAAAAAAUAAAAGGAGACGAUCUACAGGAACUGGUGUUAGAGAGCACUGAAGAGCACACCCAGGCUAGAGGCCAGGCUCUUCUCUUGUUGGCUGCACCUGAGGACUCCCCACCAGUACAGUUUCAACCAGCUCUAAAUUCCUCGGGUGUUGAAGAUUUCAUUGUGGAUAAAGUGCCUUUGAACAUAUCAGCUCAUAAACACCUCGUUUCUGUUCUGGCUCAAGAUGAAACAGUGGUUAUCCACAGGAAUAACUAG
This 491-nucleotide long non-coding RNA is filed under the name Mus spicilegus (steppe mouse). Its description in RNAcentral is "lncRNA (ENSMSIG00000019527.1)". The record is from RNAcentral. Lineage: Eukaryota; Metazoa; Chordata; Mammalia; Rodentia; Muridae.